Molecule: small RNA, 58 nt
Filed under: Caenorhabditis elegans
Lineage: Eukaryota; Metazoa; Nematoda; Chromadorea; Rhabditida; Rhabditidae
Description: Unclassified non-coding RNA F18F11.6
Source: RNAcentral
AUUUCUAGAAUUGAGUAGAAUUACGGAGUGAAAAUGUUGAAACUUCAAGGGGUAACCU